GGGGAUGAUUAGGAUUCGACUGGAAGAGUGAAGUCAAAACAGCAUGUAGAGGCGUGGGUGGCCUCUUAAAAAACCCACAAAAAGAUAAUCGCAAACGAUGAAUCUUACGCUUUAGCUGCUUAAUAACCAGCGACAAGCAAACCCUGUAGUCAGAGCCUAAAAAACUUUUGGACUACCCGGAGCCUGGAUUUGACAAUAGGUUCAGAAUCUCCGGAUCCCAAUAUUGUAUCGGGUGAAUCCUCGACUGAAGGAGUAGCCUUAAAUCUAUUCAGUCUGGUAAGUCUGCAGCGUGUCGGUCCGCGUCUGGCUUACGAGAUUAAAAGAUUCGACUAAACAUGUAGACGUUGAGAUCUAGCCUUUUGGGACGCGGGUUCAAAUCCCGCCAUCUCCACCA
RNAcentral lists this transfer-messenger RNA (394 nucleotides) under Succinivibrionaceae. Its description in RNAcentral is "Ruminobacter sp017940385 Standard tmRNA". It matches the Rfam family "transfer-messenger RNA". Rfam says of the family: Bacterial tmRNA, also known as 10Sa RNA or SsrA, is named for its dual tRNA and mRNA-like properties. Its role is to liberate the mRNA from a stalled ribosome. The record is from RNAcentral. RNAcentral also lists the same sequence under 1 other name. Lineage: Bacteria; Pseudomonadati; Pseudomonadota; Gammaproteobacteria; Aeromonadales.